RNAcentral lists this long non-coding RNA (24122 nucleotides) under Capsicum annuum. RNAcentral's name for it is "long non-coding RNA (CANN_LNC005157)". Lineage: Eukaryota; Viridiplantae; Streptophyta; Magnoliopsida; Solanales; Solanaceae. The record is from RNAcentral.
GCCUCCCCACCCUCUCUCUAUCUCUCUCUAUCUGCUUUCCCCUCUCUCUAGAACAAAACUGCCGCCCCUCUAUCAUUUUCCCACUCCGAUGGACGGUUGCUGUCGCCGCCCCACCAUUUUUCUUCCUCAUCUCUUUCCUCCGUCUCCCAGCCACCGGUCAUCAGUACUGCCACUAUCGCACCGUCGUCGUCGCUCUUCACUUCUAUCACUGCCUCCGUGUCACCAGCUGUCAUACAACACCGCCGGACGCCGACCAACUCGUCUCCCUCUUCACGCUAUUAGUCGCCUCCUUUCCCAACGGCACCAACGACGAUAAUACUAUCACCAUCCGACGACACCAGUCAACAACCAAGGAAACCCAUCGCCCCCCGUUAUCUGCAUCUCUACCACUGGUCAGCCUCAAAACCCUUCUCCCAUUACCAUUUUACGACCAUGCAGUCACAAGUUUAUAUUAUUUUGCCUCACCGGAGGUCAUGACUGGUGAGGUAUCAAUUGGUAACCCCUCUAACUAUGUUUGAUCAAUAGACACCAUCACAGGUUCCGUCCAUUAUUAAUUUUAUAUUAGUCUUUGUUUAAUCUUACUCUCCGUGAUCUAAAAUCGACUAACACGGCUGAUGUUAUUGAUUUUGAUAUUGAUUUCUGUGAUUCGGGCUCACUGGAUCUCACAUACAUGAAGUUGGUGAUACUUAACUAGGCUACUAGUUGUUUUUCUAACUCUUGGAAUCAUUAUAUUUUGUUUGAUUGGUUUGACAUUGAUAAACUGUACACUUAGUGUUGGAAAAAAUGAUUAACCUUGUUUUUACUCUUGACUAAAGAUUAUGGAACUGAUUGCACAUGUAAUUUGGAUGACUUGAUUAUUUGAAUUGAUUGGAUGCAUAAUCAACAUUAGUGAUUAACGAACAUGCUUAUAUGAUUAGCCACCUUUAUAUUUUUAUUUUAUUUUAUUCUUUUACGGUAAUUAGCAGUCCUUUCUCACAACAUCAGACGUGUUUCAUAUGCCUAUUUGUGGUAACCACAUAAUUGGUGUGCCCGAUCAAAAUAAAAUUGAUUUGUUUAACGAAUGUUUUCCUUUUAUUUGUUGUCACGACCCGAAUCGGGGCCCUGGCCAUGACGGACAUCCCGAACCAUGAAGGCCCAAGAGCCCUUCUAACUUGUAAUCAUACACACCAUUCAUAUACAAAUAGGAAGUGCGGAAAAUAAAUACUGAAAUGGAAUCAUGGUCAUAAGUCUAAACUCAAUUUAUAAUGUGAAAGUAAAGCCCAACAACAACUAGACAAUGUCGGAACCAGACUGCGAAAUCUCUACUACAUCUGAAAAUAACAACUGUCAGAAACUGGGAUAAGGCCCCCAGUGGACCUAAACCAAAAUAAAUAACAUAAUCUGAAAGACAUAGACCUUCUGGAAUAAAGAAGGCUCACCAAUUGCACACAUCACUGUUGUCUGAAAACACUACGGCUUAGCAGGGCUUCUGAACUGAGCUUUAGACCCUGGAGGUAGGGGGUCAAUACAAUUGUACUGGUAGGCAGAGCAAUCCAAAAUAAAUAUUUUAUAUAAAUAAAAUAGUUAAGAGCUAGUCAUAAACAUCAUGAAAGAUAUAAUUUCUAAACACAUGGGCAUUUUUGAAAACAUAAAACCUUUCUGUUAUUGCAGUUUCUGAUCUUUGUUUUACUUCUAAGUUAGGUGGCACUCCCCUACAAGUCUGAUAUUCCACGGGCUAUGUGGAAUCCUCUAUUGACUCGGCGAGGAAGCCCCCAACCCAAAUGUGCUGCAAGGGUUGGAGUGUCUGAGUCUGAUACACCACAGGGCACCAGGCCAACGUAUAAUAAUAUACCUGGAUCGGCAAAUCACGAUUUUUAGGCAAUGAGUUGUCUGAACUCGUUCCUUCUUCGGGGAACCACCUAAGCUCUCUUUAUGCCCAAUUUAUGUUUAUUCUGAAACAUGCAUCAUUCUAGUUUCAAAAUCUAAAUCUGAUUUCAAACAUACAUUCUAUUCUGUUCUAAAUUACAAUGGCAUUAUCUGAGUUGGUGUCGUCACACCAAGACUUGCAAGUCCUAUUUCUAAGCCAUAAUGCAUCAUGCAUGAUUCUUUCAUCAAAAACUCAAUUCAGACCACCCAAACUUGCAAAUAGUGUAAGAGAUUUCAUGUUCCGAAAGCAUAAGUCAAAACUAUGCAAGGAUUAUCAUUCUUUCAAUAACAAUGUGGUGGUCAUGUAAUCUUUAACAAACCAUGCAACUCUUUUCAUUAUAUGAUUAUGUUUAACAUUCAUCAAUAUAAAUAACCCUCUCUUUUAAAAUCAAAAUUAUAAUCCAAAUAGAACAUUACUCAAGACAUUUCAUAUCAUGCUUUCCAAGAUGCAUUCAAAACAAAUCCUAGCAUAUCAUAAGUAAAGGAAAAUCAUAACAAGAGAGGGAUUUUUCAUGAGUCAUGCUCUCAAUUCAAUCAUCAACCUUAAAACACAUGCUUACAUAUAUAUAUAAUUUCAAAUAAAUUUGGGGGAAGGCCUAAAGAUCAAAACAAUAUCAUCAAGGUUUCUAAAACAUGUUUAUAAUUAUAAAUCCAAAACCCUUUUCUUAAAAUCAUGAUUUCUAAACCUUUUGCAUAAUUAAAAGAAGAUUUUUAUGCCCAUGAGAUUUUAGGAAAACCCCACUACCUUAAAUUAGAAGUUUUUGAUGAACUUUAGCUUUUGGGAUGCUAUACGUACGAUUGAUGGGUGCUUCUUGUAGCCCUCGUAAUGGGGAUUCCGAAUCUUGAAGAAUUAAGGAAAACCCAUGAUUAAAUCUUGAGAUAUAUUGAUCUUUGGUUUGAAACCCUAAGGAGUAUUCUUGGUGAUUUUGAGAGAAAAUAAUAUUAUUUUGGUGUUUGGAGGAUUUAAUCCUGUGUUAUGGCUGAAUAGGGGAUGGAAAAUACCACUUUUCCCCUUAAAAACGCAAAAAAAGUACCUAGAAAUUGGGUUCGUGCAUCGCACGCUAAUCGCGCGAUGCUACUGUCUCAAUCACAAAAAUGGCCAUAACUUUUUGCUUGGGUAUUGGAUUUUGGUGAAAUUGGUAUCGUUGGAAAGCUAAUCCGAUGAGUUUUCAUUUGAUAUAUAGUAGGACCUCUAAUUCCUUAUAUACAAAGAGUUAUGGUCAAUUUAAAUUGACCCAAGUUUCGACGCUCACUCAAACUCAAACGAUAGGAAAGCUUUCAACUCGUCCUUGAGUUUGGGGACCUCUAUGAUCUCAAUUCAUGCUCAAAUAGGUUCCCACACUACAUAAUUGAUUAACAUGCAAAAUUUGCAUUGGAUUUAUGGCUUUUGGAUCAUCUACUCAUAAAAACGACGGUUUUUGUUCUAGCUCGAAAUGCGGGGUGUUACAUUAUCUCCCCCUUGGGAUCAUUCGUCCCCGAAUGAUGGGUAGGAAUGUUGAAGUCUUAAAGGUAUGGAAUAAUAUGGACAUUAUAUGUCUUCUAAGAAGGGAUAUAGCUAAGCUGAAAUAUUUAUACUUCUAUCAUGAAACUGAAUUCUGAGCUGACUUGAAUUUACUUGCUUUAAGGAGCUGAUUCAUGCUGAGAGUUUCGAAUUCCCUUGAAGUGUUCAUGAUCAAAUCAUACAUAUUGAAUUGAUAAGUGAUAACUUAUGCAAGUAUGAAUCAUGAGACAAAUGGACUUAGAUCGUAUCAGGGUAUUACACUGUCUGAGCUAAAAUACUUGGGAAAAUUUGAGAUUGUGCGCUGAACUCUUAUGAACUGAGUCAUGACUAAAUAGCUGAAUCUGAAACAUGAUGCUUUGACUGAACUGAAUUCGCAACUUAUAUGGAUCGAAUAGAUUAUCUCUUGGGAUGGUCAUACGCCUGAAACUUCGGAUAGUAGGACUAGCUGAAAAGGUGGAAAACCACCGUAACUUGUCUGCCUGACUGUUAAACUGAAUUAUACUGGACACUUAUACUUAACUGGAGUAUCUCUUAAACACUCUUUAUAAAGAGGGAGCAAAGAAUCUCUGACAUGAGUUACACAAGACAUCCAACUAAGGAAUCACGACAAUGAUACUACUCUAUAGCAUGGAAUAUAGAUAUACAACUCAUAAAUUUGGAUAGAAUUACCAGGCCUUAGGCAAUACAACUUCUUACUUUCAAGCUUAGCACACCGCUCGAAUAUCCCUUAACUAUACUAUUCUCCUUAAAUACCAUACUCAUUUGAUUCAAUUUAUUUUUCUCACAUAGCCACUGAUAUUUCCAUCUACUAAUGUCUAAACUGAACUAAAUCCCCUCACCAUCUUCAAGCCUAACUCAAAAUCACAAGACGCACCACAUAAUACUGUAGUACUAGUAUGAAUCAUGAAUUCAGUACACCCUGCAUUUCACAAUUCCUCAUUUCCUGCAUAAUUCUUAUUGCCACUCCAACAAUCACCUUCAACUUCGUAGUAGACAUUCACAAACACUCAAAGUAUUCAUUCGUAUGUAUACAAACAUAACAUUCAAGCCUAUCUUCAUACUCAUAUAUGCACUUCUAAACAAACACUCAUAAAAAAUCUUUCUCAUAUUCUCUAAUACUUCUAUCCAUAACAACUUCCCUGCACUAUUCAGAUGAUACACAUAAAAUAUCCUCAACUAACCAAGCCAUACAAAAAACUUCAUCUCAAAAUUCUUUCAACUUAUAGACUUACAUAAAACAAGCACACAAUAAUUUUUCCCAAAUAUAACACAUAAACCUUCAACUAACCUUGACAUGUAUCAAAUACUUGGCCUCAAUCUUACUCNNNNNNNNNNNNNNNNNNNNCAAUAAGAAAUGCUUACUCUUUCCCAUCUAGACAACUGUUCAUCAUCACUAUCUCGACCUAAGGGAAAAGGUCACUGAAAAAUUAGAAUAUCGGGAUCUGAAGCAUGAGGAGAGUACUAAGCAUAACUUAAUACCCUACUGAGGCGUGAGGAAUAGAGCACUCACAACAUGGACUCAUUAAAGAGAUCUAGUCUGAGGACAUACCUGAUAUAAAUCUGAAUUUUCACUAAUCGUUAAGAGUAUCACAUGUGCACAAGAGUCAUGAACUGCAUGACCUGAAUUCUUGGAAUUCUUAACUUACGGAAAGUGAUUCUAACUGCUGAACAAAUUGGGAACUCAUAUACUAGGACUAGGAGAGUACAUGAUUGCUUAUCAUAUACAUGAACACGAGCUAUGAUCAUGAAGUUAAAACAUAAAGCAUGAGUAUGUAUCGGAAUAACUGAAGUAAACUACUGAAAUAAGAAUAGAUUGAGCAUCAUUCUUUCUCACGGCCAAUUCCACAACUUUACUGGCAUAUCUAUUAGCAUCUAAUAACUUGACUUGGUUACUCAUUUUAUUAUCUCCCCCUUAUAUUUAAGUUAUUACUCUAAGUCUGUGAACCACUAUAUACACUUUGGUAUAAACUGAAAUCACUUUAAUCUAAAGUCGGGGAUAUAACAAUACACAUAAAACUAAACUUACCCUGUAAGACGAUAUCUUCAUGUAUAACAACCAAUGCUAGUACCUCCUACUAAGAUUCAACCCUUAGGUUUCUAUAGCCCCAAAAGUCAUCAUAUAACAGCUUAAACAUUCACCAACUUAGAUUCUUCUAUUACUAAACAUGGAUAUCUCCAAACCUUUGACGGACCAUACCACUUUGGUCAUAGCCUACCAGCAUUAUGCUUGCAAACUUAUAUUUCUAAACCAUGAGAAUCAAGAUUAUACGAAAAAUCUCAACAUCAUUAAUCACAACUCUAUAAAUUAGCUAUAAAGAACAUCACGUAUUAUCUAACUAGUCUUUCUCCACCUAGCAACUCAACGGUACUACUAACCACACAACAAGCAAUGAUCCUUGAAAAUAAUGCAGCCCCAUAGCACCUUGGGCAUACUUCUACAUCAUACUUACCACAUCAGACUUGAUUACAAAUCAAAUAAACUUAAGCUUUUGUAUACAUUGUUCAAGCCUAAUAGAUCACUUUCACACAACUAACACCCGCCACAUCAAUUCAUCAAAUCCAUCUUGAUCACCAUCGACUAUUCCAACUUAGUGUCUAGUUCUAGUUAUGAUAAACCACUACUUCACACAAUUUUCUUACAUGCCAAACAUCUGAAAACAUUAAUUCUCUAAAACUUCAUAACAGUAAGGAUCAAUCACAAUCCUAUGAUCUAUCUUAUUUAAAAUCCAUUAACAUAUCCUCCUUCUAUACACCAUUACUAUCUACCCCUUUCAUAUAGCUAAACUUAGUUCAUAACUCUAUAAGUCCCAACUAAACUCCUUCUUGCAACCUCAGGGACAUCUAAAUUAACACUACUCAUCCACUAAGUACCUUCAUCAAUAACCUAUAAUUUUCUUGCACGACAAACACCAUCAACAACUCUUUUCAUAGUUCAAGUAAACAAUAAUUCACCUUAACUAAUAACUCCUUCUCUACCUUACCUUCUACUAAACCAUCACAAAGGGACGUAUUACUUCAUUACCAACUUAAUCUCAUGCAAAAAAAUUCAGCCAUAAUAUAUUCAAUAAAUCUCCCUUACCACUUUUGUUGCCAUUACGCCACUAAACCCCAGUUCCAACCAACACAAGAACAACAAGAUCAACAACAAGUUGCUAGUGAAUCAAAAUAGGCCCUACACGGCUCCACUAGACUUUGAUUUUGUGUUUUGAAUAAGAAAUGAGAUGAAUGACAAGGCAACUAUGCUAGUGAAUCGAAAGAGCCCCACACGGCUUCACUAGACUUUCAGUUUCAACAACACAAUGAUAACAAGAUUACAAGAGAUAGAAACUUGACACACAAUAUUCAAUGAUCUAAGAAUACACAUCUUACUCUGUAUAAAUAAAAAAAUCUGAGUCAAACACUUCCUCCAAAGACUAUCAUACAAUCCACACAUGCUACUAGCUACCACAUUAGUCUAUCACUAUAAAAUGGUAAAUCAUUCUCAAACAUCAUUUAUUCAACUUAACAUAUUUAUAUACACAAAAGUCACCCUUACUCUAAUUUCUAACCUUGCGACUUAACAUCCCAACUUCUUAGUCCAAUAUCACUACCAAUAGGUCAUGACACCAUCACUUUAACUUAUACUACUACUCGGGUAGAAAUACAAUUCUAACAUUCUGCUACACAUCUUCCCUUUGAAGCAUGACGUCUGCAACAUAAAUUUUGAAAAGGACUAAAUACACUUAAUACUGCAGCUAAAAAUCAUGAUUUCAUCAGAAUCAAAGUUCACACUAUAAUCAAUAUACCAUGGAGUACUAACGGACUCUUCUCAAAUCCUUGCACAAAUUUUAAACUCUUAUAUGGCUUAAUCAGAAAGGACCAUACCAUUUAGACUCUAAAAUUCUGCACUUGAAUCACCCCAAUAAUGAGACAUAUCUGAGCACAUCAAAGUAAGGAAAGAAUUGGGAUGAAUUUACUCCUGUAUGGGUGAUACCAUAGCAUAAAUUAGAGUAUGUAAGAGGAACAUUCUAACUCCAUAGCACGAACUAGAAUAUGAAGAAAGAGAUACAUUCCUAAAUGCUUUGUAGCCUCCUACCUAUAAGUGUGGCACGCUACACACCUAUAAAUAAGACUCUACUCGAUGUGAGCAGACACCCUGGGAUCAUGAAUCGUGCUCUGAUACCAAGUUUGUCACGACCCAAACCAGGGCCCUGGCCAUGACGGACAUCCCUAACCAUAAAGGCCCGAGAGACCUUCUAACUUGUAAUCAUACACACUAUUCAUAUACAAAUAGGAAGUGCAAAAAAUACAUACUGAAACGGAAUCAUGGUCAUAAGUCUGAACUCAAUUUAUAAUAUAAAAGUAAAGCCCAAUAACAACUAGAUAAUGUCUGAACCAGUCUGCAAAAUCUCUACUACAUCUGAAAAUAACAACUGUCGGAAACUAGGAUAAGGCCCCCAGUGGACCUAAAUCAAAAUAAAUAAUAUAAUCAGAAAGACAUAGACCUUCUGGAAUAAAGAAGGCUCGCCAAUUCCAAACAUUACUGCUAUCUAAAAACUCUAUGACUUAGUUGGGCUUCUGAACUGAGCUUUAGACCCUAGAGGUAGGGGGUCAAUACAAUUAUACUGGUAUGCAGAGCAAUCCAAAAUAAAUCUUUUAUAUAAAUAAAAUAGUUGACAGCUAGUCAUAAACAUCAUGAAAGAUAUAAUUUCUAAACACAUAGGCAUUUUUGAAAACAUAAAACCUUUCUGUCAUUGUAGUUUCUGAUCUUUGUAUUACUUCUGAAUUAGGUGGCACUCCCCUACAAUUUUGAUAUUCCACGAGCUAUAUGGAAUCCGCCAUUGACUCGACGGAGAUGUCUCCAACCCAAGUAUGCCGCAAGGGUUGGAGUGACUGAGUCUGAUACGCCACAGGGCACUAGGCCAACGCAUAAUAAUAUACCCAGAUCGGCAAAUCAUAGUUUUUGGGCAAUGAGUUGUCUAAACUCGUGCCUUCUUCGGGAAACCAUCUAAGCUCUCUUUAUGCUCAAUUUUAGUCUAUUCUAAAACAUGUAUCAUUCUAGUUUCAAAAUCUGAAAAUCUGAUUUCAAACAUGUAUUCUAUUCUGUUCUAAAUUACCAUGGCAUUAUCUGAGUUGGUGUCGUUAGACCAAGACUUGCAAGUCCUAUUUUUAAGCCAUAAUGCAUCAUGCAUGAUUCUUUCAUCAAAAAUUCAAUUCAGACCACCCAAAUAUACAAAUAGUGUAAGAGAUUUCAUGUUCCGAAAGCAUAAAUCAAAACUAUACAAGGAUUAUCAUUCUUUCAAUAACAAUAUGGUGGUCAUAUAAUCUUUAACAAACCAUACAAGUCUUUUCAUUAUAUGAUUAUGUUCAACAUUCAUCAACAUAAACAAUCCUCUCUUUUGAAAUCAAAAUCAUAAUCCAAAUAGAACAUUACUCAAGACAUUUCAUAUCAUGCUUUCAAGAUGCAUUCAAAACAAUUCCUAGCAUAUCAUAAGUAAAGGAAAAUCAUAAAAAGAGAUAGAUUUUUCAUGAGUCAUGCUCUCAAUUCAAUCGUCAACCUUAAAAUACAUACUUACAUAUAUAUAAUUUCAAAUCAAUUUGGGGAAAGUCCUAGACCAAAACAAUAUCAUCAAGGCUUCUAAAACAUGUUUAUAAUCAUAAAUCUAAAAUUCUUUUCUUAAAAUCAUGAUUUCUAAACCCUUUGCAUAGUUAAAAGAAGAUUUCUAUGCCCAUGAGAUUUUAGUAAAAUCCCACGUACCUUAAAUUAAAAGUUUUUGAAUGAACUCUAGCUUUUGGAAUAUUAUACGUACGAUUGAUGGGUGCUUCUUGUAGGCCUCGUAAUGGGGAUUCCGAAUCUUGAAGAAUUAAGGAAAACCCACGGUUAAAUUUGGAGAUAUAUUGAUCUUUGGGUUGAAACCCUAAGGAGUGUUCUUGGUGAUUUUGAGAGAAAAUAAUAUUAUUUUGAUGUUUGAAGGAUUUAAUCCCGUGUUAUGGCUGAAUAGGGGGUGGAAAAUACCACUUUUUCCCUUAAAAACAUGAAAACAGCACCUGGAAAUGGGGUCCAUGUGUCGCACACUAAUCGCGCGAUGCUACUGUCUCAGUUACAAAAAUGGCCAUAAUUUUUUGCUCGGGUAUCGAAUUUUGGCAAAAUUUGUAUCGUUGGAAAUCUAAUCCAAAGAGCUUUCAUUUGAUAUAUAGUAGGCCCUCUAAUUCCAUAUAUACAAAGAGUUAUGGUCAAUUGAAGUUGACCCAAGUUUCGACGUUCACUCAAACUCGAACAAUAGGAAAGAUUUCAACUCGUCCUUGAGUUUGGGGGGACCUCUAUGAUCUCAAUUCAUGCUCAAAUAGGUUCCCACAUUAUAUAAAUGAUUAACAUGUCAAAUUUGCAUAGGAUUUAUGAUUUUUGAAUCAUCUAUGCAUAGAAAUGAUGGUUUUCAUUCUAGCCCAAACUACGGGGUGUUACAUUUGCUUUGACUAAAUUUGAUAUUAUAAGUGUGAUUUUAUAUUCAUGAAAAACUCCAUUGAUUGGCUUCAUCAAAUAUUCUCCUCUUCCUUAAUUGAUUCCGACUGAUUUUUUGAAUAUCUUUUUCCUUUUCUGUUGCUACUAAUUAACACUCUUGUAUUUUCUUUCCUUUCAAUCCUCAAUACCCCUCUACUAUAUAAACAAUCCUUCUUUUCAAAUUAAGGGACAGUUCUUGAAAAAUAAAACACUCCCUAUAAGAAAAUCACUAGCUAUUUUGAUUACAUAUUCUUAAGAGUCCUUUGAUUUUCUUGGAGGCUUACUAGAAUCACCACAUAUUAUUCUUACAAGUGCUUGUCUUCAUUAUUCUUAUUAUUUAUUUUAUUGCUUCUUAUCGGUAAUUAAAGGUAUUAAGUUGGCCGGGCUGGGUCAACCCAGAACCGGCCCGUGAAUUUUAACCGGGUUGUGGGCCGAUCCGGAUCCGGAUCCAGGCAUUGUUAAAUGGGUCAGUCCGGUUUCGGGCCCAACAAUAAUUUUUUUUAAAACAACUCUGAAAUGGCCCACUUCAACUAACCUGGUCCAAUCCACCUAAACUCGGUCAAAACCGAUUCAAAAUUCGAUAAAAAUCGGUCAAAACCCAAAAAAAAAAAAAUCUCCAAUAUACACUAUAUAUACUCACCUAUAUACAUAUCAAAUAUGUUAAACAAUAUGUAUACACUAUAUAUAUUGUAUAUACAUCAUUAGAAUUUAAAAAGUAUGAACACUAUUACACAAUUACACAUGUAAUCGUGUAUACGAUUAUACGUUAGUUAAAUAUAUAUACUACUCUAAAUAAAACAUAUACUACAAGAUAUAUACUACAAUAUAAUGAUAUAUAUACUAAUUUAUAAAAUAUAUACACAUAUAUACGUACCAUUCAAUAUAUAUGUAAUACUUUAAAAAAAAUAUACUACAAUAUAUAUACUACAAUAAAUACACCCACUAUAUAAAUAAUAGUUAUAUACUAGUUUAUGAAACAUAUAUGCAUGUAUAAAUUAAAUAUAUACUACUUUAGAGUGUAUAGAAGAUACAUACACAUAUAUAUGUACCAUUCAAUAUAUAUGACCUACUUUAAAUAAAAUAUACUACAAUAUAUAUACUACAUUAUAAUGAUAUAUAUACGAAUUUAUAAAACUUAUACACAUGUAUAUGUUAAAUAUAGACUAUUUUAGAUUCUAUAGAAGAUACAUACACAUAUAUACGUACCAUUCAAUAUAUAUGUAAUACUUUAAAUAAAAUAAAAUACAAUAUAUAUACUACAAUAGACACACACUACAUAUAUAGUUAUAUACUAAUUUUUAAAAUAUAUACACGUGUAUAUGUUAAAUGUAUACUACUUUGGAGUCUAUAGAAGAUAUAUACACAUAUACGUACCAUUCAAUAUAUAUGUACUACUUUAAAUAAAAUAUAAUACAAUAUAUAUACUACAAUAUAAUGAUAUAUACACUAAUUUAUAAAAUAUAUACACAUGUAUACCUUAUAUAUACACUACUUUAGAGUCUAUAGAAGAUAUAUACACAUAUAUACGUACCAUUAAAUAUAUAUAUACUACUUUAAAUAAAAUAUACUAGUAUAUAUAUACUAAAAUAUAUAUACACACUAUAUAUAUAGUUAUGUACUAAUUUAUAAAACAUAUACACGUGUAUACGUUAAAUAUAUACUACUAUAGAGUCUAUAUACACAUAUAUACGUACCAUUCAAUACAUAUGAACUACUUUAAAUAAAACAUAUACUACAAUAUAUAUAUACUAAAAUAUAUACACACACUAUAAAUAUUACUAUUUUAGAGUUAUAGAAGAUAUAUACACAUAUAUACGUACCAUUCAAUAUAUAUGUACUACUUUAAAUAAAAUAUACUACAAUAUAAUGAUAUGUAUACUAAUUUAUAAAACAUAUAAACAUGUACACGUUAAAUAUACACAACUUUAGAGUCUAUAGAAGAUAUAUACACAUAGGUAUGUACCAUUCAAUAUAUAUGUACUACUUUAAAUAAAAUAUACUAUAAUAUAUCUACUACAAUAUAUACACACACUAUAUAUAUAGUCAUAUAAUAAUUUAUAAAACAUAUACACGUGUAUACAUUAAAUAUAUACUACUAUAGAGUCUAUAUACACAUAUAUACGUAUCAUUCAAUAUAUAUGUACUACUUUAAAUAAAAUAUACUAUAAUAUAUCUACUACAAUAUAUACACACACUAUAUAUAUAGUCAUAUAAUAAUUUAUAAAACAUAUACACGUGUAUACAUUAAAUAUAUACUACUAUAGAGUCUAUAUACACAUAUAUACGUAUCAUUCAAUAUAUAUGUACUACUUUAAAUAAAAUAUACUAUAAUAUAUCUACUACAAUAUAUACACACACUAUAUAUAUAGUCAUAUAAUAAUUUAUAAAACAUAUACACGUGUAUACAUUAAAUAUAUACUACUAUAGAGUCUAUAUACACAUACAUACGUACCAUUAAAUAUAUUUGUACUACUUUAAAUAAAAUAUACUACAAUAUAUACACAUACUAUAUAUAUAGUUAUAUAGUAAUUUAUAAAAUAUAUACACGUGUAUACGUUAAAUAUAUACUACUUUAGGUCUAUAGAAGAUAUAUACAUAUAUAUGUACUGCUUUAAAUAAAAUAUAGUACAAUAUAUACACACACUAUAUAUAUAGUUGCAUACUAAUUUAUAAAUUAUAUAUAGGUGCAUACGUUAAAUAUAUACUACUUUAGGUCUAUAGAAGAUAUAUACACAUAUAUAUGUACCAUUCAAUAUAUAUGUACAACUUUAAGUAAAAUAUACUACAUUUAUAAUGUUAUAUAGACUAAUUUAUAAAACAUAUACACAUGUAUACGUUAAAUAUACACUACUUUAGAGUCUAUAGAAGAUAUAUACACAUAUAUACGUACCAUUCAAUAUAUAUGUACUAAUUUAAAUAAAAUAUACUACAAUAUAUACACACACUAUAUAUAUGUUAUAAACUAAUUUAUAAAAUAUAUACAUGUGUAUACAUUAAAUAUGUUCUACUAUAGAGUCUAUAUACACAUAUAUACGUUUCAUUCAAUAUAUAUGUACUAGUUUAAAUAAAACAUAUGCUACAAUAUAUACACACACUACAUAUAUAGUUAUAUACUAAUUUUGAAAACAUAUACACAUGUAUAAGUUAAAUAUAUACUACUAUAGAGUUUAUAUACACAUAUAUACGUACCAUUUAAUCUAUAUGUACUACUUUAAAUAAAAUAUACUACAAUAUAUAUACUAUAAUACAUACACACACUAUAUAUAUAGUUAUAUAAUAAUUUAUAAAUUAUAUACACGUGUAUACGUUAAAUAUAUACUACUUUAGAGUCUAUAGAAGUUAUAUACACAUAUAUACGUACCAUUCAAUAUAUAUGUUCUACUUUAAAUCAUAUAUACUACAAUAUAUUUUCUUCAAUAUAAUGAUAUAUAUACUAAUUUAUAAAACAUAUACACAUGUAUACGUUAAAUAUACACUACUUUAGAGUCUAUAGAAGUUAUAUACACAUAUAUACGUACCAUUCAAUAGAUAUGUAUUACUUUAAAUAAAAUAUACUACAAUAUAUACACACAUACUAUAUAUAGUGAUAUACUAAUUUAUAGAACAUAGGUGUAUACGUUCAAUAUAUACUACUUUAGAUUCUGUAGAAGAUAUAUACACAUAUACACGUACCAUUCAAUAUGUAUGUACUACUUUAAAUAAAAUAUACUAUAAUAUAUAUACUACAAUAUAAUGAUAUAUAUAUACUAAUUUAUAAAACACAUACACAUGUAUACAUUAAAUAUACACUACUUUAGAGUCUAUAUUCUAUAUAUACACAUAUAUACGUGCCAUUCAAUAUAAAUGUACUACUUUAAAUAAAACAUAUACUAUAAUAUAUAUACUAUAAUAUACACACACAUUAUAUAUAUAGUUAUAUAUUAAUUUAUAAAAUAUAUACACAUGUAUACGUUAAAUAUACACUCUUUUAGAGUCUAUAUUCUAUAUAUACACAGAUAUACGUACCAUUCAAUAUAUGUACAGCUAUAAAAAAAAUUCUACAAGGUAUAUACUACAGUAUAAUGAUAUAUAUACUAAUUUAGAAAACAUAUUCACAUGUAUACGUUAAAUAUAUAAUACUUUAGAGUCUAUAGAAAAUAUAUACACAUUUAUAUGUAUCAUUCAAUAUAUGUACUACUUUAAAAUAUGUGCUACUUAAUAUAAUAAAUUAAUAAUACUUGAUAGUAAAUUAGUAAUAUAUUAAAACUGAGUAUUUAAUUUAAAAUCCCGAUUUACAAAAAAAAAGUUGUUAUUCGGGUCGGGCCGGGCAGGUUAACCGGCGGGCCUAGAUCAGUUUUGUUCCGGACUGGGUUAACCGGGCUCAAAAAAGAUUAACUCAGCCCGGUACCCGGUACCCUAUAGUCUAUGGGCUGAUCGGGCUGGAUCAAAUCGGAUCGAAUUUGCUUAGUGGGCCGGGUCAGGUCGGAUUAACCCAGCCCGUUUGAAGCCUUAUCGGUAAGUAAGUAUCUAAACGAUGUGGUUUAAUUACUUAUUUGUUCAUGGAAUGCUGUUAAAGUGUUAGAAAGCAUGUCCAUAUGGACUCCGCUUUGUUGUGUUUGUCAUGUCAUUGUUUGGUUACUUUGUGUAUAGAAUCAUGCUAUGGUAUCUUGUUUAUCUCCGUCUUUGUCGUGUUGUUGCUCUACAGUUCGGGAUUAUUUGAAGAGUCGCCGGGCUUUAAACAUAAUAUGUUAUUCCUUAUAGCUACUAUUUUUCCUUUCUUAUUUUUUUUAUCAUUUGAUUUGUAAUAUUAUUGUAAAGACAUUAUAUUGAUAUAAUAAUAAAUUUUGGGGACUGCUUUGGGGGUAGGAAUUUACGUGCUCUAUGAAUAGUGUAGAUAGGCACAAAUUAGGUUUUUACGUGUGUUACAUGCUACAUGAAUCGCUUACAUACUUUCAUUAAUUAAUUAGCUUAGAAAUCUUGCUAAUACCUUUGAACAAAUUCACAUUGAUUUUGGGCAUGGUAAUAUUUUAGUGCGCUAGCCUACCACAUUAAACUUUUGCAUGUUAAAAACUACAACUUAUCGACGUCACUGCAUGUUUAUGCAUGUUAACACAAUUUAGGCAUAUUAAAACGAAUUUAAGCACGUGAGCAUGUCAAUAAUUAAUUUUUUGCACAUUAGUGGAUUUUUAACAUGUUAAGUAUGAUAUUUUCAUGUUUUCAACAUGUAAAUAAUAUUUAUGUAUGACAAUAUGGUAUGCAUGUUAACAAGUAAUUGUAAGCAUAUUAGUGAACUCUCCAACAUCAUAAAAACUGUCAAAAAAUUGAUUUAAUUAUGACAUUGCAUGUGUUAGCAUAUAGACGCAAAUCUAAGUGUUUACUAUUUUUAUAUCAUGAUAACCUUAAACUCCUGCACAUUAAUAUAUUUUUAGUAUGCUAAAACACCAGAUUUCUGACAUAUUAAUAUAUUUGUAGCAUGUUGAAUAUUAGAAUUAAGCAUGUCAAUGUUAAAAUGGUAGCAUGUUAACAUAAAAAAAAUUCCGAGCAUUAACAUAUUUUUCAGCAUGUCAAAAAUAAUAAAGUUCAUGUAUUUUUCGUAUGCUAAUAUUAAUUUCAGCAUGUUAAAAUAGUGUUUAUGUGUAAAACAAGUAAGUUCAGCAUGUCUACACUCCGUUUCUGCAUAAAACAAGUUAAAAUUUUGCAUUAUUAAAAUUAUGUUUUUGUAUUAUUAUAACUGCAUUUCUGCAUUAUUAAAACUACAUUUCUACAUUAUUUGAAAUUGCGUUUCUGCAUUAUUAUAAUUGUGUUUCUGCAUUAUUAGAAUUGCAUUUUUCAUUACUAAAACUGUGUUUCUGCAUAUUAAUAUUAAUUUCAGCAUGUUAAUAACUGGCAUCAUGUUAAUUUCAGCCCGUUAAUAUCUUCAGUAUGUUAAACAUAAAAUUUUUACAUGUUGAUUCGUCCCCCAUAUUUAAAUGCAUUCUUGUCAUGUUAAUGUAUUUUUAAUAUUUUUGUUAAUUUCUUAUGUACUCAUUAGUUUAUAACACUUAAUUCGUGAGCACAAUUCCUUGACACAUUUACCACACUUUUGACACCUUCUUGUAAACACUUGACAACAUAUUUUUACACACACGAGUCACAGUUCUCUUUUGUCACCAGUUCCUGAAUACUUCGAUACCAUGCCUAUAGGUCAAUGACACAAAAUAAAUAAUUAUUUGUCUUUGCAUGUUAAUCACAUUAUUCAACUCUCUAAUAACCAAGAGGUUAACAUAAGACAUUACUUACUACUUGACGUCCAAUGUGUUACGUGUUUCAAGUCCUAGGCAACAUAACUUUAUUCUUGUCUAGACCCCAAAACCAAUAUAGCAAAGUCUAAUGCCUCUUGGACGAUAGGCGGGACGAUGGGAAUUACUAAAGGCGCUAGUUUUAUCCUUGUCUUAGAAUGCCUUUAGAGUUAACAACCAGCCUAGGUGGGGAGGGACGGGUAGUCGUUAGAAAGUGAUAAUCUCCAACAGACAUUAAAGGUAAGACAUAUGACUUGUCUAAGAGUUCGACCAGUGGGUCGGAUGAUGAUUAAACAAGUUGGGGUUCCGAUCCGAAUGAGACCAAAAAUAUUUCUUUAUUUGAUUUAACGAAUUCUUUUCAUUCUUUUAUUUACCUUACAUGCUUAUUUAUUUAGGGUAGUUAGUUUGUUACGUAAGCAGUCCCCUUUUGUUACAAAUUAUGUCAGUUCUUUCUUCUCGCUUAUCUUAUUAUAUGUUUUUAUCACUUCGAUAAUUAAUAAUUACAAAUAAUAAAAUAAUAUAUUUUUUUCAUUAAUUGUUUUAUCACUUAGUUAAACAUUAAAUCAAUAAUAAAAUAAAAGACCUUAUUUGAUCACAUAGAAUUCCCACGUAAAAUAUGAAUUCGGCCGAAAACCACCUUUGUGGAUCCUCAAAGAGUGCAUAACACCUUUAUUUUGAGGUAAUUUGAACCCUUACCCUAACUCUGGUGAACUAAGACAAAACAAUAAAAUAAGUUUCUAGCUAGUCUAGACCGGUGCCCUAACACACCUUUAAUUCAUUAGGUGGCGACUCUUCACACUCUACCUUCAAAACAAUCCCAAAAAAGAGUCGUCACGUCGAAUCCCGCUUUUCGCAAAAAAAAUGGGGUGCGACAGAAUGGCAACUCUUCUAGGGAUCUUAGGUUCUAACCAAUACGAGUUUGUAUUUUAUGUGGGAUUCCUUCACAUUCUUUGUUUUAUUUUUCGUAAUUGCUUUCUCUCUUAUUGUUUAUAUCAUGAUUUAUUGUUAUAUAUUCUCUUNNNNNNNNNNNNNNNNNNNNNNNNNNNNNNNNNNNNNNNUCUCUUCCCCUUUUCCCCUUUUUAUUGCUUAUGUAUUAUCAUGUUCACUUAUGUGUAUAUUUCUUAGCAUGUUAAUUUUAUUAUAUGCUACAUAUUACCGCUUUAUAUAACUGGCAUCCCGCUCAUACUUUCCUCCACUUGGAACCUCUUUUGUUUUUUUAUCGAUGGUUGCGUGGUAGAAAAAACGUUCUUUCCUAAAACACCCUUCGAAAAAUGUCUUAUGGAUUGGUCGAUCAGCGGUGCAUUGACAGCCACAAUCUUUCCCACUCUCGAGUUGUCCAUUCGAGGGAACCAUGUCAUAAACCCACUCUUGCCCUUUAGGUACUGACUACAUAUUUCUUUUAUUAAGGAAUAUGUGUCCCGUUCAACACAGGAUGUCAUGGCAUUCUUGAUGCGUUGAAUGUUAGUCUCAUUCAAAGUCCAAAAAGGUUCACGACCUCAAAGGGACUCACAAUUAUUUGCUAUGUGUUGCAUUUCUACAUAUGUUUGAUAUUUUACCUAUCUUGUUAUUUUCCUUCUUGUCUUAGUCACUCUUUACAUUUAGUGUUCCUCACCUUAGAACUCUUUACUCUUAACAUUAUUGCCAUGUUAGGACCCUACAAUAUACUCUUAGGGCCUAUUCUAUACUUACCUUCAAUUUAUCCUCCUGACUCAUCCGGUAGUAUUUUAAUCAUCUCUAGGCUCAGUUCUUGCUUUGAUAAAGGGGUUUAGGCUUAUUCAUAAUCUUGUAGUACAACUUAUCAUUUUAGGAUAUUCUCUUUCAACGUUUACAUACUAUUAUCCUACCACGAUUCUUGAACAUCAUUGUACUCAUAUCGUACUCUAGCUUUCAUAAUCUCUAAGUUACAUAGAGCUCUCAUAACUUCUAUUCACUCUGAACAAACAUAACUCAUCAUUUUCAAAUGAGUAGAAUAUUUAUUCUAGACUCCCGCGCGUGCUCUUUGUUCCAAAUUAUAAAUCCUUUCUUCUAAGGUUGACUAAAGUUUAACAUCACUACGUUGACCUGAUUUCCCUCUAUCAGGGAUACGAAGGCGCUCAUUUAAUGAGUUCGGUCUCACUAUAAUUAAAUCUUCUUUUCCCCAUUUUGUCCUUUUCUAUAGGAAGUUGGAUGAAUCAACAAUGUUCAACAAAAAUCAACCUUAGUCAUUUCCUUUCUUUCUUAUCUUCUUUACAAUCACAAUUGCAAAAUCGAUAUCAUAUCCUGUCACUGUCCUGUUUCAUGCGUCAGGAGCUUAAAUCUUUACGCCUAUAUCACUUAUUAAAUCUUAGUCUUCAUCCUUGAAUACCUUUUAUUUUAUAUUUAUUAUGUUUUGAACUUAUGUGUUAGGUGGUAAUUUUUAUGUGCCUUACAUAUCUUAUUUUAAGGUUGUCUAGCAUUUGAACAUCAAACUCAAGUGACAAUCUGCGACAUGACAAUUAUGCUCAAUAUCUGAAAAGUUGUCAGUUCUCCUUCUCAUCGCCUAAAUCAAAACACUAUGACUCCUUAUCCUCGCCUUACCCACACCCCUUCUCGGUAAUUAUCUUUUACACAUGACACUUCUGAAAGCAAAAGGAUCAAAUCGGAUGAACGUUGGCGAAGUCUUUGUGACUUAGAAAGAAGGAUGAAUGAGGAACUGCGUUCUAGGGGUAUCUAUGACUUAAGGUAUGAGAAAUUAUGUAUACAUCCGUGGAUUGAUUUACCUCCAGGAUACAAUGUCCCCAAAUUCAACACAUUCAAUGGGCAUGGAGAUCCAAUCACACAUCUAAAGGGCUAUUGUGGCAAACUAAUUGGCAUAGGGCAUAAUGAGCCUCUCUUUAUGAGAUUGUUUAUUCAGAGUUUGUCAAGAAUGACACUCACAUGGUUCGCCCAACAAAACUUCGACAAAUAGCAUAAUUGGGAAGAAUUUCCUCAAGAUUUUGUGAGGCAAUACAAGUUUAACAUCAAUACCGGUCUGACAAUACGAGAAUUACAUUAGAUGAAGAAAGCGACCCAUGAAUAUUUUGAGGAAUAUGCAACUCGAUGGAGGUUAGAGGCUUCCAAAAUACGUCCUUCUAUACCUGAGGAGAAACUGAUCCAAAUUUUCCUCAAGACACUAGACGGAAUAUACUUUCAGAAAAUAUUCUUCCUGGUCAAUCACAACUUUGAGAGUCUAAUUUCGAUUGGAAAGAAAUUAGAAUAUGAAACGAAGAAUCCACCCAAGGAAGAGAAAGAGGAUUCUUCACCUUCCAUACCUCAAGCACGAGGUUAUCGAUAUAAUGAGAUCCACGCUGAUUUUAGUCCUCGAAACAAGGCUUGUUAGAUCCACUCCUACUCUGUCCAACAAGAUCCAAGACGUUAACAAAAGAAACAUAAAGCGAAUCACAUGAAUUGACGUUCUUGUUUCACGUCACUAUUUUACCCACCGUACGACUAGCAAUAAUUUCCAGUUUUCUCUAUAUUUCUUGGUACUCUUGAACUACGUUCGACCUCACUUCCAUUUGGAUACAUAGGCAUCCCACUCUGGGUCCGAUCUUAAUCUGAUAAAAUAUUUUCUUUCACCAUUUUCUUUCAAUUCUUACAAUUCCAAAGCGACAGGCUAAUAGACCCAACUCUUUAGCGUAUAAAGGCAGAUUACAACUGAAGUUACAAUAUUCAAAUGUAGGAAAAUCAUUUAUCUCGGACUAAUUGUUUCUUUGAGUGGUACAGAAAUAUAAGACUUUGAAGACAAAAAUUAGGGCAGAAAUUUUUUAGAGUUCCUCAAAAAUUUCAUGAUUAAACAAUAUAUCAAUUCACUAAUGACGUGUAAAAGUCACCUUUCAUUCUAAACUGGGGAAAUUUUUUUUGAGAAUUCCUCAAAAAUUUCAUGAGUAAAAAAUCUAUUCACAAUGACGUACGAAGAUGCUUUACAAACUAGGGCGGAAAUUUUUAGAAUCUCUCAAAAAUUUCAUCACGAUGGAGUACAAAUCCCAACUGUUCAUGGAGUAGAAAAAAAUGACUAAGGAGUCGACUCGAGCAUGGUACCAAUCCAUAUUUCUUUUUGACUGACAACUUUUUCUUUGAGUACCGGAUUAACAGGUACAGAUGACAACAAUCAUCACGAAAGGCCCAAAUGACUAAUCCGACAUCAUGAUGAGAGACUUCAUAAUUGAUCCAACAAUGCGAUAGGUACGCUUUCUCUCUUCUUAUCAUUAUUGUUAUGGUUGUUUUCACUACAUUGUUCAAUCUUCUAUACAUAUACAUAUAUCCGCGCUAACCAUUUUAUCCAGUUGAGCUAAAAAUAGAAGAACUAACAGGUACAGAUCACGUUCCCAUGAUGAGAAGCUAGACAGCUAAUCACAUGAUUUCAUAAUGCAUCGAGAAUUCCAAAAGCUGAUCCCACGAUGAGAAGCCAAACAACUCAUCGCACGAUUCCACAAUGCAUCGAGAAGCCAAAUAGUUGAUCCAAUGAUACAUCAAGAGGUUCAAUAUCCUAUCCAACGUCAUAUCAAGAAGCCAGACAGUUGAUCCAAUGAUACAUUGAGAGGUUCAACAUCUGAUCCAACGUCAUAUCGAGAAGCCAAACUGUUGAUCCAACAAUACAUCAAAAGGUUCAACAGUCGAUCCAACGUCAUAUUGAGAAGCCAAACAGCUGAUCCAAUGAUACAUUGAGAGGUUCAAAAUCCGAUCCAAUGUUAUAUCAAGAAUCCAAAUAGCUAAUCUAACGAUACAUCGAGAGGUUCAACAUCUGAUUCAAUGUUAUAUCAAGAAGCCAAACAGCUGAUCCAAUGAUACAUUGAGUGGUUCAACAUUUGAUCCAACGUCAUAUCGAGAAUCCAAACAGCUGAUCCAACAUCACAUCAAGAAGUCAAACAGCUAAUUCAACGAUACAACAGAUACGCUUUCUUUAUUUCCAUAUGUCAUUUAGUACGAUGUAAAGACGCAAGUAACGGAGGAGGAAUAAUAAAUAGGGAUAAUUUUCAUUUCUAUUUUUGGAGUAUUACCCCAUCUAUGCAUCAUCGCCUAAACUAAUCUUAAAACUCACUAUUCCAAAUCCCAUUCAAUUUCAUCCCAGCUUAUUGACCCACAAUAUCACUUUUGAUGCUCCAUCCUUUAUCGAUGACAUUCUUUAGGAAUAUUGUCCAUUCCUUAAUCUAGAACUACAAAUGGUCUGAUUCUCGUGAAACAAGAGAUAUGUAGGAGGCUUAAAAUCGAAGCCUCGACCACAUUAUUUUUAAAACCACCUUCCAUCGUUUUAACUCCAACGAAUCUUUCUCAAUCAGACAAAAUUGGCUACUGCAUCAACUUUCGUUGCUUGAUAAUUCUUUUAUCAUUCUCAAGCAAUGAAGGGGCAGCUGUUGACACCCAAUGUUGACCCCCGAUACCACUUUUGGGCUGCUAUUUUUAUCAAAAUUAUUUAAUUUUAAUUAUUGAUAUUUUUACACAUUAUUCUUAUAUUAAAUACAUAUUUACGUGUCACAUUCAGAAUUUAAAAAAAAUACAUAAAUUAUUUUAUUAUCUUUUAGUAUCAUUUUUAUAAUUUUUAAACUCAAGUACGACGUUUUAUGUAGUUUUAUUAAUAUUUAUUAAAUUAUUAUUUUUUUCACGUAAUUGUGCACACUCAUAUUUUGCAAAUACAUUGUCUAGUGUUGCAUUAUUUACUAUUAUUAUUAUUAUUAUUAUUAUUAUUAUUAUUAUUAUUAUUAUUAUUAUUAUUAUUAUUAUUAUUAUUAUUAUUAUUAUUAUUAUUAUUAUUAUUAUUAUUAUUAUUAUUAUUAUUAUUAUUAUUAUUAUUAUUAUUAUUAUUUAUUAUUAUUAUCUAUUAUUAUUAUAUAUUACCAUUAUUUAUUAUUAUUAUUAUUAUUAUUAUUAUUAUAAUUAUAACAACCUAAUUUGAACUCACUCUCUAAAUUUAUUUACCUUUUAACUCAAUUUUAUUCAAUUUCUUAUAAUCUUAGCCUAUUCUAUUUAAUCCAUUACAAUCAUAGCCACUUCAUGAUUCAAUUUUUAAAUUUUAGUCAAAUGCUAGUCAAAUUCUCAACCAUAAGAUCUGAACCAUCGAUCAAAAACUGAUCUGACGACUGAGAUCAAAGAAACCUAUUCUUUUCUUUUAAACCAAAACUUCUCAAACUCUAACCCUAUUUCCAAUUCAUCCGCCUCCCCACCCUCUCUCUCUAUCUAUCUGUUUUCCCCUCUCUCUAGAAUAAAACCGUUGCCCUUCCAUUGUUUUCCCACUCCGAUGGACGGCUGUUGCCGCCGCCCCACCACUUUUCUUCCUCCUCUCUUCCCUCCAUCUCCCAGCCACCGGCGAUUAGUGCUGCCACCAUCACACCGCUGUCAUCGCCCUUCACUUUCAUCACCGCCUCCGUGUCACCAACCGCCAUGCAAUGCCGCCGGACGCCGACCAACUCACCUCUUUCUCCAUGUUGUCACUCGUAUCCUUUCCUAGCGCCACCAACAAUGACAACAAUAUCACCAGCCGAGGACACCGGUCAACAACUAAGGAAACCCGUCGCCCCCCGUUCUCCGCAUCUCUACCACCGAUCAGCCCCAAAACCCUUCUUCCGUCGCCACUUCACGACCAUGCAGUCACAAUUUUAUACUAUUUUGUCUCACUAUUGAUCAUGAUCGGUGAGGUAUCGAUUGGCAAACCCUCUGACUAUAUUUGAUCGAUAGACACCAUCACACGUUCUGUCCAUUUUAAUUUCAUAUUAGUCUUUGUUAAAUCUUACACUCCGUGGUCUGAAAUCAACUAACUCGGCUGAUGUUAUUGAUUUUUGUAAUUCGGGUUUAUUAGAUCUCACAUGCAUGAAGUUGGUGAUACUUAACUAGGUUACUGGUUGUUUUUCUAUCUCUUGAAAUCACUAUAUUCUAUUUGAUUCAUUUGACAUUAAUAAACUGCACACCUAGUUUUUGCGGCAAAUGAUUAACCUUGUUUUUAUUACUCUGGACCAAAGAUUAUGGAACUGAUGGCACAUGUAAUUUGGAUGACUUGAUGAUUUGAAUUGAUUGGAUGCAUAAUCAACGUUAGUGAUUAAGGAACAUGCUUAUAUGAUUAGUUGUCUUUCUAUUUUUAUUUUAUUUUAUUUUAUUCUUUUACGGUAAUAAGCAGUCCUUUCUAACAACAUCAACAUUUUUCAUAUGCCUAUUUGUGGUAAGCACAUAAUUGGUGUGCCCGAUUGAAAUAUAAUUGAUUUACUUAAUGGAUGUUUUCCUUUUAUUUGCUUUGAGUAAAUUUGUUAUUAUAUAAGUGUGAUUUUAUAUUUAUGGAAAACUCCAUUGAUUGGCUUCAUCAAAUAUUCUCCUCUUCCUUAAUUAAUUCUGAUUGAUUUUUUGAAUAUCUUUAUCCUUUUCUGUUGCUACUAAUUAACACUCAUGUAUUUUCUUUCCUUUCAUUCCCCAGUACCCCUCUGCUAUAUAAACAAUCCUUCUUUUCAAAUUAAGAGACAGUUCUUGAAAAAUAAAACACUCCCUAUAAGAAAAUCACUAGCUAUUUUGAUUACAUAUUCUUAAAAGUCCUUUGAUUUUCUUGAAGGCUUACUGGAAUCUAAGCAUAUUAUUCUUACAAGUGCUUGUCUUCAUUAUUUUUAUUAUUUCUUUUAUUACUGCUUAUCGGUAAGUAUCUAAACGAUGUGGUUUAAUUACUUAUUUGUUCAUGGAAUGUUGUUAACGUGUUAGAAAGCACGUUCAUAGGGACUCCGCUUUGUUGUGUUUGUCAUGUCAUUGUUUGGUCACUAUGUGUAUGGAAUCAUGCUAUGAUAUCUUAGUUGUCUCCCCUUUGCCGUGUUGUUUCUCUACAGGUCGGGAUUAUUUGAAGAGUCGUCGGGUGUUAAACAUAAUAUGUUAUUUCUUAUAGCUGCUGUUUUCCUUUCUUAUUUUUUUUAUCAUUUGAUUUGUAACAUUAUUGUAAAGACGUUAUAUUGAUGUAAUAAUAAAUUUUGGGGACUGCUUCGGGAGGCAGAGGUUUACAUGCUCUAUGAAUAGUGUA